This 434-nucleotide ribosomal RNA is filed under the name uncultured bacterium. RNAcentral's name for it is "partial 16S ribosomal RNA". It matches the Rfam family "Bacterial small subunit ribosomal RNA", at positions 29 to 507 of the family's 1533-position model. The record is from RNAcentral.
AGCGAACGCUGGCGGCAGGCCUAACACAUGCAAGUCGAACGAACCUUUCGGGGUUAGUGGCGGACGGGUGAGUAACACGUGGGAACGUGCCUUUAGGUUCGGAAUAACUCAGGGAAACUUGUGCUAAUACCGAAUGUGCCCUUCGGGGGAAAGAUUUAUCGCCUUUAGAGCGGCCCGCGUCUGAUUAGCUAGUUGGUUGAGGUAAUGGCUCACCAAGGCGACGAUCAGUAGCUGGUCUGAGAGGAUGAUCAGCCACAUUGGGACUGAGACACGGCCCAAACUCCUACGGGAGGCAGCAGUGGGGAAUCUUGCGCAAUGGGCGAAAGCCUGACGCAGCCAUGCCGCGUGAAUGAUGAAGGUCUUAGGAUUGUGAAAUUCUUUCACCGGGGACGAUAAUGACGGUACCCGGAGAAGAAGCCCCGGCUAACUUCGUG